This 253-nucleotide ribosomal RNA is filed under the name uncultured bacterium. RNAcentral describes it as "partial 16S ribosomal RNA". It matches the Rfam family "Bacterial small subunit ribosomal RNA", at positions 524 to 776 of the family's 1533-position model. The record is from RNAcentral.
UACGUAGGAUGCUAGCGUUGUCCGGAUUUACUGGGCGUAAAGCGCGCGCAGGCGGCACUGUAAGUAAGGUGUGAAAUAUCCCUGCUCAACGGGGAGGGUGCACUUUAGACUGCAGAGCUAGAGGACGGUAGAGGGGGGUGGAAUUGCUGGUGUAGCGGUGAAAUGCGUAGAGAUCAGCAGGAACACCCGUGGCGAAGGCGGCAUCCUGGACCGGCAUUGACGCUGAGGCGCGAAAGCCAGGGGAGCAAACGGG